Molecule: long non-coding RNA, 513 nt
Organism: Calypte anna (Anna's hummingbird)
Lineage: Eukaryota; Metazoa; Chordata; Aves; Apodiformes; Trochilidae
Exons: 4
Source: RefSeq, a predicted model, not a curated record
GCGUGGCCCGGCCCGGCCUCGGGCGGGAAGCACCGGGACCCACCGGGACGCGGCCGGUUCGGGCGCCCCUGAGUGAGCCCCUUCCUGCAGGGCACGAGUUGCCCCCUGCGAGAGCAAGCGGGGGCUGCUGAGUUCGUGUCUUCUAAAACGCCGCGUGUCGGUUGGUGGCGUGCUUAGCACCAAUUAACGGCCCUGGUAAUUAGGUUUCAGCUGAGAGGCAACAGGUGUUAAGCAGGAUUGCCAUAUCCCAGCUGUGGCAGGUGCUUGUGUGGGUUUUUUUUUUGCUGAGAUCCAGUCCAGUGUAAAGUUAAAAAUGCCAGCAAGGUAUACAGCAAGGCUAACCUCCCUUCAAAUAUUAAAUACUGAUAUCUUACAUGCACAGAGAAGAGGCAUAACAUCUGUAACACCAUCAAGAAACAACUCUUAGCUGCCUUACUUCCAGGCACUUUUAUCUUUAUCACCAGCAGGAAUAAACUACAGACCUCGGUGAGGUGACAUGGAACAGAAGCAUUU